GGGCUCGUGGUCUAGUGGCUAUGACGCUGCCCUCACACGGCAGAGGUCCUGGGUUCAAAUCCCAGCGAGCCCA
RNAcentral lists this transfer RNA (73 nucleotides) under Candidatus Aenigmatarchaeota archaeon. RNAcentral describes it as "tRNA-Val". It matches the Rfam family "tRNA". From Rfam's summary of the family: Transfer RNA (tRNA) molecules are approximately 80 nucleotides in length. Their secondary structure includes four short double-helical elements and three loops (D, anti-codon, and T loops). The record is from RNAcentral. Lineage: Archaea; Nanobdellati; Candidatus Aenigmatarchaeota.